RNAcentral lists this ribosomal RNA (120 nucleotides) under uncultured bacterium. Its description in RNAcentral is "partial 16S ribosomal RNA". It matches the Rfam family "Bacterial small subunit ribosomal RNA", at positions 796 to 915 of the family's 1533-position model. The record is from RNAcentral.
CACGCCGUAAACGAUGACUGCUAGGUGUCGGGUGGCAAAGCCAUUCGGUGCCGCAGCUAACGCAAUAAGCAGUCCACCUGGGGAGUACGUUCGCAAGAAUGAAACUCAAAGGAAUUGACG